This 253-nucleotide ribosomal RNA is filed under the name uncultured bacterium. RNAcentral describes it as "partial 16S ribosomal RNA". It matches the Rfam family "Bacterial small subunit ribosomal RNA", at positions 524 to 776 of the family's 1533-position model. The record is from RNAcentral.
UACGAAGGGGACUAGCGUUGUUCGGAAUCACUGGGCGUAAAGGGCGCGUAGGUGGCACGACAAGUCAGUGGUGAAAGCUCGACGCUCAACGUCGAGUCGGCCACUGAUACUGUUGAGCUGGAGCACUGUAGAGGCUAAUGGAAUUCCGGGUGUAGCGGUGGAAUGCGUAGAGAUCCGGAAGAACACCGGUGGCGAAGGCGGUUAGCUGGGCAGUUGCUGACACUGAGGCGCGACAGCGUGGGGAGCAAACAGG